AGAAACACAACCACACUGCUCUCAUUCAGCUGGAAGUAAAGGGACUCGAACACAACCACACUGCUCUCAUUCAACUGGAAGUAAAGGGACUCAAACACAAUCACACUGCUCUCAUUCAGGUGGCCAUUAGAUUCAGCAGGAGGCAAAGGGACUCAGAAACACAACCACACUGCUCUCAUUCAACUGGAAGCAAAGGGACUCAAACACAACCACACUGCUCUCAUUCGGCUGGAAGUAAAGGGACUCAAACACAACCACACUGCUCUCAUUCAACUGGAAGUAAAGGGACUCAAACACAAUCACACUGCUCUCAUUCAGGUGGCCAUUAGAUUCAGCAGGAGGCAAAGGGACUCAGAAACACAACCACACUGCUCUCAUUCAACUGGAAGUAAAGGGACUCAAACACAACCA
This is a long non-coding RNA of Clupea harengus (Atlantic herring), 411 nucleotides long. The record is from Ensembl. NCBI's taxonomy places the organism in Eukaryota, Metazoa, Chordata, Actinopteri, Clupeiformes, Clupeidae.